Molecule: long non-coding RNA, 555 nt
Organism: Rhagoletis pomonella (apple maggot)
Lineage: Eukaryota; Metazoa; Arthropoda; Insecta; Diptera; Tephritidae
Exons: 2
Source: RefSeq, a predicted model, not a curated record
UGAAAGCUGGCAACUAAGUUGCUAUAUUGGCAAUGGCGCUGCCCAUCGGCAACCCAACUGAGGUUCCGUUCCCAUCCAUAAUCGAUCCAUAAGUCAUAAUCGCACGAACUAAUCAAGGCUAUCAUAGAAUCCAUCGUAGUCCGAUUUUUCGUGAAAUCUACGGAAAUGCUAUUAAGGUCCAAUAGCUACGAACGCAGCGCUUGCUUUGAAUACACACGUUCAUAGCAGUUCAGAUUCAGUGAUCGAUUUUUCAUAGAUUUUAAGAAAAAUUGGACUACGAUGGAUUCCGCCACCAAUAUGUUUUCUCCUUUGACAAGAUGUUGGAGAAUCGCGGCAGCACAGCCGUAUACUUACUCUAUGCUAUACGCGCAUAUGCUAAAUUUCUCUCACCUAGCUAAAGUGCUUGACAAAGGCAGAAGGCAUAUCUUCAACAUUAUAACUUAAAGUAAAAAAGUUUAAGGCAUGCAUAAAAGAAUCAACAGAACCAAAAAAUGUCCUCAAAACUAUUAAACAUAAAAAAUUGCACGAAUAAAAUUCAUAAUUUAAAAUAAAAUA